AAAGCAAUGUAGAGAGGCUUCAAGCUGUAAUUAUACUUAACUACUUUUUAAAAGCUCAGUUAACUGCCAGAAAAAAAUUCAUAUACAUUGGAGGCAGGCUUAUGUGGUUUCACUGAGAGUUUCCUCUCACCACUGCCAUUCAGAUGUCCUAGUAUCAAGCCCAAGUCUGAUCUGCAGGGUGAACACUUACUUGUUUAAUGCCUUUUGGCAGCCUGCUGAGACAGAGCACUGUACGCUACUUGCAGGAGGUAGCAUGUGAGAAGUAGUGUGGGGAAGAUGGAGGUUCAGUUCUUACUUUUGCUUUGCAUCAUAUUCAAAUUACAAACUUGUCAGAGUGAAAGACUUUGCUUUGGUGUAUGCAUCUCUUUUUGAACAACCCUUUUGCUUUUGUUUUUCUCUUUCUCUUUUCCAGCUUCUUUUUCCCUUGUUUUUUCUUCAUUCUUGACCUCUGUCAGGUUUUCAUCCCUCUCCUCACCAUGCUCUGUUCCUCCUUGGCUGGAAAUAUUCGCAGGGUUAAAAAAAACAUUUUCCACUUCUGUGUAGUUCAGAAUCUGCUUAACCCACCUCUGCCUACCUGCAUGACUGGAAGGAUGACGGACCCAGAUGCUGGGCCUCCAGGUACUUCUUCUGCGUAAGCUGCAGAGCUAUCCAAAGACUUAGACCUUCAGCAGUGACUUAUGUGCCAGGGCUGAUUUAAUAAUAUUUGAUGUCUGUCUUAUGCCAAGGCCAGAACAGUUGUCUCAUACCUUACCAGGACCGCAUGUGGGUUCACAUACUAUCCUUCCAGAGUUGCACAUUUCUCAGGUCAUCACAGAGAAGAAUUAGGCCCCAGUGUCCCUAAGCUGAGGCCUGGUAUGAUGCUCUACGUGGUAGAUGGCAGUCUUAAAAAAAAGAAACAAAAAAACAGAACAGAUGCUCAGCACUGCAUCAUCUCCCUAGCUUGUGGGUGUGAUAUCUUUCUUAGGACCUCCAUACUUCUGCUCUUACUUGGAUGCUUCUGUUGAGACCUUUCAGUUAGCAAGACUGAGAUUUUAGCAGGCACAGCUAAGAGCUGGCAGCAGUGGGGAGGAAAAAUAGUGAGAAAGAGCGUGGCAGGCUGUCUUUGGGCCUCCUUUCCUGGGAUGUCUCAAGGCUUCCACCUAGCUUUAGCCAGAGGAGAAGGCAGGCCAAGUUGAAGGCAGCCCAGCCUUUCAGCAAUGUGAACCUCAGAGCACUACACGUCGCCUCCGUGUUGUUUUCUCUUCUUGCAUCCUCAGCUGUCCCUAUGCCAGGGAGGAUGAAGAGACUCUCAAAAUGCAGAUGUAUGUUUGCUUCUACAGUGCUUAAAACAUUAGCCUCUCAUUUCCUCAUCCAGAAAUGAGGUUGCUCCAGCUCUUGACAAGGUAAAAUCAGGCUCAGGUUAUGUGAGGACAUGGAGUGAAGUUUGAAAAAACAUUGUCUAUGAUUUCAUAGUGGCUGACAAACAGAAAUGUAAUCCUCGCUGAAGUGAGAUAUGCACAAGCUCCAGUGUCCAAAAAUAUGCAUGCAGUUGCAUUUGUGCGUCUGAACAGGUGAUCAUUAAAAGCCUGUGUUUACGCUGCACCUCCAGCUGACAGUUUUCAAAGCGAUUGCAUUUUUGAGUAUGCAAAAUAUGCAGUGUCCAAAUGCAGAAAUCUCACAUGACCAAUUUUAGAGUGAAGAAAUGGGCGGGAAGAUGGUCACCACAUCCUGGAAAAAAUAGGUUCUUUGAAGGUAUCUGUAACAUAGAAUUUGAAAACCAGGGCAUCCAAAAUCGGUAGCCAGAUCAAAACAAGCUGAGGGCUCAUCUUCUGCCGAGAUGCCCUGAAGCAGACAGGAUAAAACAACAGCAGCUAGCUGCCUCACAAGACAUUCACCUGCUUGCUUACCUCUUCCAUGUGCUCAGGUGUGGCAGUGGUUCAUGCCAUUACAGGAAGGCUUGAGGAACAGUUACAACAGGAGCCUCAGAUUGCAAAGGCUCCACUCUAGCCUGCCUUACCAACGGCUGGCUAUUGCAACCCAUUGCUGAAUCUGGGCAGAAGACAUGCUGUGCAGAGCUCAUAAAUGGUGUCACAUCCACGCUUGUGUACACUGUGCAGGAUGCCUUCCACCCUAUUGUCUCUGUCCUCCUACUUUGAAAGAACGUCAAAAAAUUAGAGGUCUUGGUGUGACCUUUCCUUCAGUUUUCGUAUAUUGCAGUGGGCAGUACCUUAGUGACUGUGGUGCAACAGUGGAUUUACCUUCUGAGGUUUUUACCUUCCUGAAUCCACAUCAAACUGGAUAGAAAUGUGUGACAGGAAUGAUAUGAUCUAUUUCAUAAAGCUUUCACAGCUGCUUGGUCACUGCAUAUGUGAAGCUCAUGGGUCCAUUCAUGUGGCUGGGGAGACCACCAGCAACAAGGGUAGAUGAUGCCAAAGGGCAUGCCUGGCCCAGUAGACCACACAAAUGCUCUGUAGAUGGGCUUCAGGGGGCCCCCCCAGCACAGACAUCUUAUCUUGAGACACAGAGGAGCAAAGGGAGCCUUUUCCUAGGCAGUAGGCAGGGCAUGAGAAGAAGACUUGGCUUUGUUUGCCAUAUAUGGACACGUGUGGCCCAGGUCAUCACUAUGUGCUGGGACAGUUUAAAUAGCUACAACAGUAUCUGAAAAAAAGAGGUGGCACUGGGUCACCCACCAGCCUCCCUGUGAAAUCAGUCCAAAUUUCAGCCUUUGACUCAUGGAGGCUUUCAAGUUACUUGACUGUGCCACCUGCACUCACACCAUGAUCUGCUUAUGUGCAUCUCAGCUGUUGAAAUUUUAGACUGCUUUGGAACCUUCCUUUCCAAAAAAAGGAAGAAAGAGAGACCUUUUUUCUCCAGUAUGAAUCUCAUCUUCUUCAUAUAAAUGCUGUAUUCCUCCACAGGUCUGAGGAUAAGCUAGAGUUGGUGCACAAAAGCAAGGAUCUUCUGCCUUUUGUUUCUGCAGGUCAGAAUGAACCAUACACAUAACAGAAAAUAUUCCUAAUAGGAAAGAUCUGAAGUGGAAGAAUAUAGGGUCUUUUGCCUCUGAGUUGCCAGUUCAAGUCUAUUCCCCAGCAGCAACAGCUGAAAGGAUAUACUGAGGCCUCAGUCUCUUAAUGUUGUGCUUUGCUGCUGACCACAGGGAGGAGAGGCUUCCCCAGGAUCAUGAGCAGAUUUUACAUGCGGACUGAUUUUGCUGCAGGGACCAAGAUCCCACCAGCUUUGCUCCAGAUCUCCUGACAGAAAUCAGGCCCAUGGUCACACGGAGGGAGGAACCGGGCUCUACUGGCAGCAGCAGGAGGAAAUGCCUGAGGCAGAGCCACAGACGAUAAAACCAGAUCUGCUGCCUUCCUGCUGUGCUCUUCCCUGCAGACCCCCCCUGUGCACACGGAGAUGAGCACCACACCAUUUUGAUGUAUCCCUUCAGAGCAGCUCUGCUGCAGGGGAGUACGUACACAGAGGAGCAUGCAGAAGGUUUAUUGGACUGGAGCUUCCUGUGCUGUUUUUUACAAGAGAGAACACAUAGGUCUUUCUUUCUUUCUUUCUUUCUUUCUUUUCUUUUCAGUUGCCCAGGGCAGUGUGAAUGCUUUAAAAGGUCUAUUUGCAAACAAAUAAAAGAGGAGAAGAGUAAGGCUGCCUGAGCUCUCUCAGACAUGCAAUUUAAUUUGUGUGUGUGCCCGCGCCUAUUUACAGAAUGACAUUCCCUGAGGGUUACAUGCUCUGGCCCUGAUUCUGCCAGUCACCGUGGUGUGUACAAGAUUUGUACUGCAAGAUCAAUUACCAAAGCAGCCAAAAUAGAAGAUUAAAACUCUGAGGGCACCCACAUCUGAGCUGUUACACAUCCAGUAUAAAAAAUGACUCAUGAUUCCAAUAUCAGUAAAGCACAUGGGAAUAUUUUCAGUGUUCAAUGAUCUUUGCAUCAGUCUUACUCACUAAAGGACAGUUAGUGCAUGUUGAAAACAAAGCUGGUGCUUCCAAAAGGAGAUUUGGCCUUAAUUUCAUUGAUCGACUCCUAGCCUUGUGUUUUUAUGAAUGGAGUAGGAGGCAAAGGCUACUGAACUGCAUUCUGAAGUUUUUUCUUGUACCUCUUCUUUUAUCUUGGCUGUCUCACAUUAUUCUGGCUGCUGUAUGGAAUGAAAACUAGCUGAGGUACAUUGCCAUGGGCUGAAAGGUGCCAAGCACUCUAACACAUGCUCAGGGCUCUCAUUGCUGCAGUCCUGAUGAGACACAAUACAAAACCGUCCAAACCCUAUAAAAACAGCUCAAUCCCCAUACUCUUUUUACAUGAAUUAAACCCAAAAGCCUACUAAGGUCUUAACAUGGUACCUCAAACCUUCAGAAGUAAAACAGUAUUUGAUGGGAUGUGGCCCUCUCCAAAGAUGGAUAAGAAAAAUGUUAUUCUGGUGUCUUUGCCUAUUUGGUUGUAGAAUUAAAAAUUAAUCAGCCUUGGAGGAGCACAUCUCUAGAUUAUGCAUGAGCCCUGAGGUCAACUCUGAGAUUCUGGCUCGCAUCCACCCAAGAGUUAGCUUUCCUUAUCACCCAGGGUCUGUCUUUCUGGGACCCUCAGGACUGACAUGCUAGCAAGAGAGCUUGAGCUGAAUACAAGAGGGCCAGAUGCAGGCCUUACACCACUUAGCUGCUGUCAUUAAGAGCCAAGAGCACCAGCCACUGCUCUGUGUUUUGGAGAUCACCUGUGGAAGGCAGUGCCUUCUCCCUGCUCCUAUAUCUGCGUGAUAUUUUCUUAGUGACAACCAUCAGAGAAAGUGGCUGCCUCCCAGGCAUCCAUUUGAAAUCACUUUUCAUAGUAUUGCAGGAGUCUCGCAGUGAAAAACCCAAAUCCUGCCUUAUAUGUGUAAUAUGAAAGAGACAGGAGGAAUGCUGAAGGGGAACAGUACAAAAAAUGCUCUUGCAGAAUGAAACCCACAUUUCUCCGGUACCUUUGAGUCCCUUUGUAUAUACACCAGAUGCCAAGAUAAAAUUCUCAGUGUGCAGUGCACAGAAGGUCACUUCUUGGGAAAAUGUCUUACAAAAUGCCAUCAUGGGUCAUUCUUUGUGCUUCAGAGAAUGGAAUUAGCAGGUGAAUGGAGAACUUCAGGCUCCAGCUACUACUGACAUGGAUAGGAAUAAGCACCCACUAAAUACAGGGAUUAUGAAAGAUCACUGUGAAACAUAUUUUGGAGAAAGCACAGCAACUUCCUCCUGCCAGUAUGAGAUGUAUCCACUUGUAAUUUUUUACAGUCUGCUUCCUCAUGCUUUGUAACAACCUUGCUCUCUUCCUAAUUUCAUCUGGCUGUUUUACUUGUUUGGCACAGUUAGAUUUGUCAGCUGUGAGAAGCAACCACCUCUUGAAGGUAGGGAACAGUCCUGGUAGAAACUGAGGUAGAAAUUUUAACAGCAAUAAAAUGCCAGGGCUUUUAGACAAGCCAGCACAAGGAAUGCUCAGAUAAUUCUACAUUAAUUUCCUGGCAGCUCACCAGAAAUCAUCUUUUAUUUUUGAUAACAAAACAUUAUGGGCUUUAUUUCCUUUGGGUAUACAGUGCUCAGCUGUCCUUAUCAGCUGGCAUGGAUCUACUGAUUUGGAUAGAACUGUAUCAUGCUUCAGAAACUAAGGAUUGUUACCUGAAAAUGAAAGGAAAGUGUGUUUUAUAAUUCAUAUGUUAAUAUUAUGUUUAAUUGCUGUUUCCUUUGUUACCACUAGAAAAAAGGGGACAAAGAUUGACAAAAAAGUUACAAGUGCAUAACUGAAAAUCCCUUUUUUAUGGAUAUCUGUAUCAGAAAUGAUACGUCAUACCUAGUAGGACCUGACUUUGAUGUAACUCACAGCAAUGUUAAACAAAAAGAACUGCAAUAAAUGCCCAGAAUGUAUUUCCAAUAAAGCUGAACCUGUA
Dromaius novaehollandiae (emu) is the source of this 5882-nucleotide long non-coding RNA. RefSeq lists it as uncharacterized. The record is from RefSeq and is a predicted model, not a curated record. NCBI's taxonomy places the organism in Eukaryota, Metazoa, Chordata, Aves, Casuariiformes, Dromaiidae. The transcript is spliced from 2 exons.